This is a long non-coding RNA of Octopus bimaculoides (California two-spot octopus), 330 nucleotides long. Lineage: Eukaryota; Metazoa; Mollusca; Cephalopoda; Octopoda; Octopodidae. The record is from RefSeq and is a predicted model, not a curated record.
CUCUUGUAUUGAAGAUAGUAAACUAAUGUAUCCAGCUUUUCCCAGGUCAUGAUGUUGUAUUUAUAUGGUUGCUCGAUUUUACGUUCUUCUUUAAGUCGAAAGAUCAACAGCCAUCUGAAGGAGCAGUCAAAAACACUUUCGUUCUCUGCUGAAGCAAGCAAAAUGUUGACUUCAAUUUUUUCUUCAUCGUGCCUACCUAUUUUAUGUUGAUCAUAAAUAAUAUUGUUAGAAAUAAUGUCAAAUGAUCAUGAACAGAUUAUUGUUUCGUUUAAAAAAACUAUGGCCGUUACAUUCUAAUAAAUAAGUAUGAGGUUUAUAAAUUGAAAAAAA